UCAGCAGCCGCGGUAAGACGGAGGGGGCAAGCGUUGUCCGGAAUUACUGGGCGUAAAGCGCUCGUAGGCGGUAUCAUACGGCGGUGGUGAAAGCUCCCGGCUCAACUGGGAGAGGCCCGCCGCAACGGUGGUACUUGAGGGUGGUAGAGGCAGAUGGAAUUCCUGGUGUAGCGGUGAAAUGCGUAGAGAUCAGGAGGAACACCCGUGGCGAAGGCGGUCUGCUGGGCCACACCUGACGCUGAGGAGCGAAAGCUAGGGGAGCGAACGGGAUUAGAUACCCCGGUAGUCCUAGCCGUAAACGAUGGAUACUAGGUGUCAGCGGUAUCGACCCCGCUGGUGCCGCAGCUAACGCGUUAAGUAUCCCGCCUGGGGAGUACGGCCGCAAGGUUGAAACUCAAAGGAAUUGACGGGGGCCCGCACAAGG
This 424-nucleotide ribosomal RNA is filed under the name uncultured bacterium. RNAcentral describes it as "bacterial SSU rRNA". It matches the Rfam family "Bacterial small subunit ribosomal RNA", at positions 508 to 930 of the family's 1533-position model. The record is from RNAcentral.